UACGUAGGGGGCAAGCGUUGUCCGGAUUUAUUGGGCGUAAAGAGCGUGUAGGCGGCCAUACAGGUCAGCUGUGAAAACUCGAGGCUCAACCUCGAGACGUCGGUUGAAACCGUAUGGCUAGAGUCCGGAAGAGGAGAGUGGAAUUCCCGGUGUAGCGGUGAAAUGCGCAGAUAUCGGGAAGAACACCCAUGGCGAAGGCGGCUCUCUGGGACGGUACUGACGCUGAGACGCGAAAGCGUGGGGAGCGAACAGG
This 253-nucleotide ribosomal RNA is filed under the name uncultured bacterium. RNAcentral's name for it is "partial 16S ribosomal RNA". It matches the Rfam family "Bacterial small subunit ribosomal RNA", at positions 524 to 776 of the family's 1533-position model. The record is from RNAcentral.